Molecule: ribosomal RNA, 253 nt
Filed under: uncultured bacterium
Lineage: Bacteria
Description: partial 16S ribosomal RNA
Rfam family: Bacterial small subunit ribosomal RNA
Source: RNAcentral
UACGAAGGGGGCUAGCGUUGCUCGGAUUGACUGGGCGUAAAGGGCGCGUAGGCGGUUUGUACAGUCAGACGUGAAAUUCCCGGGCUCAACCUGGGGGCUGCGUUUGAUACGUGCAGACUUGAGUUCGGAAGAGGGUCGUGGAAUUCCCAGUGUAGAGGUGAAAUUCGUAGAUAUUGGGAAGAACACCGGUGGCGAAGGCGGCUUUCUGGCCUGUUCUUGACGCUGAGGCGCGAAAGCUAGGGGAGCAAACGGG